This 467-nucleotide ribosomal RNA is filed under the name uncultured bacterium. Its description in RNAcentral is "partial 16S ribosomal RNA". It matches the Rfam family "Bacterial small subunit ribosomal RNA", at positions 28 to 507 of the family's 1533-position model. The record is from RNAcentral.
GACGAACGCUGGCGGCGUGCUUAACACAUGCAAGUCGAACGGAAAGGCCUCUUUCGGGGGGUACUCGAGUGGCGAACGGGUGAGUAACACGUGAGUAACCUGCCCUUGACUUUGGGAUAACUUCAGGAAACUGGGGCUAAUACCGGAUAGGAGCUCCUGCUGCAUGGUGGGGGUUGGAAAGUUUCGGCGGUUGGGGCUGGACUCGCGGCUUAUCAGCUUGUUGGUGGGGUAGUGGCUUACCAAGGCUUUGACGGGUAGCCGGCCUGAGAGGGUGACCGGCCACAUUGGGACUGAGAUACGGCCCAGACUCCUACGGGAGGCAGCAGGGGGGAAUAUUGCACAAUGGGUGGAAGCCUGAUGCAGCAACGCCGUGUGCGGGAUGACGGCCUUCGGGUUGUAAACCGCUUUCGCUCAUGACGAAGCUUUGUGUGACGGUAGUGGGUAAAGAAGCACCGGCUAACUACGUG